AAUAGAAAUCCUCUGCGGACAAAAUGCAACAGUUAAACGCUGCACACCAGGAGGCAUUAAUGAAACUGGAGAGACUUGAUUCUGUUCCAGUUGAAGAGCAAGAAGAGUUCAAGCAGCUUUCAGAUGGUAUUCAGGAGCUACAACAAUCACUAAAUCAGGAUUUUCAUCAAAAAACGAUAGUGCUGCAAGAGGGAAAUUCCCAAAAGAAGUCAAAUAUUUCAGAGAAAACCAAGCGUUUGAAUGAAUUAAAAUUGUCAGUGGUUUCUUUGAAAGAAAUACAAGAGAGUUUGAAAACAAAAAUUGUGGAUUCUCCAGAGAAGUUAAAGAAUUAUAAAGAAAAAAUGAAAGAUACGGUCCAGAAGCUUAAAAAUGCCAGACAAGAAGUGGUGGAGAAAUAUGAAAUCUAUGGAGACUCAGUUGACUGCCUGCCUUCAUGUCAGUUGGAAGUGCAGUUAUAUCAAAAGAAAAUACAGGACCUUUCAGAUAAUAGGGAAAAAUUAGCCAGUAUCUUAAAGGAGGUUUGUAUUGUAUGGAAUUUUGAUGUCUUUAUUAUAUAACAGCUUACUAUAGUUCCUUGUAUUUUGCUUUCACUUUUUGUUAUGUUUUCCUAAAGAAAAACAGGGUCAUUCUACACUAUAAUAGAUGUGGCAGUGUAUGCUGUGAAAAAGACACUUUUCUUUUUAAACAUAGCAGUAGCAAGACCCAAUUUUUAACCUUCCGAUGAAAUUAAUAAUAACCCAGCACAUUGCUGUGUAUAUUUUGGAAAAUAGUACAGUAGCUCCCCCUUAUCCUCAGGGGAUUCAUUUCAGGACCCCCAGGGGAUGCCUGAAAUGGUGGAUAGUAACAAACCUUAUAUAUAUAUAUGUUUUUUCCUUUACGUACAUACCUAUGAUAAAGUUUAAUUUAAAACUUAGGCACAGUAAGAGAUUAACAA
This 934-nucleotide small RNA is filed under the name Pongo abelii (Sumatran orangutan). RNAcentral's name for it is "retained intron". The record is from RNAcentral. Lineage: Eukaryota; Metazoa; Chordata; Mammalia; Primates; Hominidae.